This is a long non-coding RNA of Salmo salar (Atlantic salmon), 2519 nucleotides long. RefSeq lists it as uncharacterized. The record is from RefSeq and is a predicted model, not a curated record. Lineage: Eukaryota; Metazoa; Chordata; Actinopteri; Salmoniformes; Salmonidae.
AGUGCCUCAUUGCUGUUGCUCUAAGAUCUCAACUCAGCGCGAAUGCUCAUGUGCCAAUUGCAUCUCAACAAGUAAACCGUCAGUGAUUGUACUGUAUUUUGACUAACGUUUUUAUUAAAAAUAAUGGAUUUUAGCAAACAAAGAAAGGCAUUCAACAACAGAAAACAAACAUCGGUACAUGGUCAGUCCUUUGAACUGUCUGUGUGCCAUCAUCAGUUCCACCCUGCUGUACAUACAGAUGCUUGGAGUCUUCUGAGUACCGCUCUGUCUCUGGCUCCCGUACCACAUCUCACCACCAACCACCUUGCUCUGGACUUCACUCACCCCCACCAUCUUGGAUUCCCCUCAGGACCUGUUUACCCUGUUCAACUCAGUCAACUCCAACCUCACUCUACACUUUGGGUUUAUCUGCAACUCAUCUGAGCUACCCCGGUUCUGCACUCCAUAUCUCUCUGUGUACAAUAAACAUUUUGGUUCAUUCAUCCCUGCUUCUGCAUCUGAGUCCGCUCUUGGGUUCCCCUGUGUUCGCUCCGCGUAACAGAACAGUGUAAAGGAACCUGGAAUACUGUAAGACAUUGUUACCUGCCAAAAUAUAAUGUUGCUAUUAUUCAGGAAAACGGGUACUUUUCCUGUCUCAGUUAGCUCCCCAUGGCUUAAGACCUCUUUAAACUCCAUCCCAGGAAGCACACUUCUACUCACAAUCUCUCCACAUUAUCUCCUCACACAGCACAGCAGCUCAGCUGUCUAUUUUAAGGAACAUCUUUGAGGCAGGAUUUCAGCUGGGAGAUGUAUGCUAUUUAUUCACGUUUCUUAGUUUAGAAAAGGGCUUAUCAGCAGCCAGGUGCACCACAUCACUCAAUGGCUCAUUGAGAGUGCAGUGGAUGGAUGGAUGAAUGGUGUGCGUGCGUGUGUCUGUGUACCAGACUGAGAGACACAGUAUGUGGCUGUGAUUGAAUUUGAAUCUGCCACUUAUUCUCGAGUGCUCUCUCCAAAGUCUGAUUCAAGCAACCUUCAAUGCUGCUGACAUUCCAUUAUGAAAUAUCAGAGAGCUUGUGUAGGAUGAGAGAACCAGCCUACAUGACAGACUGGUCAACACUGCAUGAUAAACACUGACAAUGGAAAGUGUAUUAUUCAAGGUUGCUCAUGCCUCUUUGGAAGGUGCCCGGUUAGUAAGGGGAGGAUUUUUUUGUCAAAGAUCAGGGGUUUGUCAGCUCUGAGCUACAGGUCUUCCCUUAAUUAUUGUGUAACUAGGGUAAGGUCACAUGGUUAGGAAAAACUCCUGGGCCUAGUUAUGACUGGGUGAUGAUGGUAAAUCCAUGGGUUUCAUGACAGAUUACUAGUAUGUCUAUGUGCCAGCUGGCAGACUUCUGUGUCAGUCAUCUGUGCUUACCUUGAACCUAUGCUCCACUAAACCUUAAUGUACAGUGGUGCCUACAUAAACAUACAGUACAACAUCUACACUCAGUCAAUUAGUGUAAUUCUGUUACCUAUCGAUAGAUAUAGCGCUGUCUGUAGCAAUUUACCCAGUAUCAUCCCUGUGCACCUGCUUCAAAAUGUCCGCUAUCAUCCUGUGCCAAAGAAAUGGAAAAUAGCUGCACUGAAUGACUACCGACCCGUAGCACUCACUUCCGUCAUCAUGAAGUGCUUCGAGAGGGUAGUCAAAGACCACAUAACCCUCCUCCCUGUCCGACACACUCCACCUUCUCCAAUUCGCCUACUGUCCCGACAGAUCCAUGGACAACACAGUCACCAUUGCACUGCCAAUGCCCUCACCCACCUGAACAAAAGAAAUGCAUAUGUGAGGAUGCUGUUCAUCGACUACAGCUCAGCCUUCAAUACCAUAGUGCCCUCUAAGCUCACGGCGCUUGGUCUGAACUCCUCCCUAUGCAACUGUGUCAUGGACUUCCUGACGGGCAGCCCCCAGGUGGUGAAGGUAGGCAACUACCUCCUCUAAACCGAUAUCCCCAUUCUUAUCAAGUGGAGACGGUCAAAAACUUUCAAUUCCUCGGUGUACACGUCUCCGGGGAGCUGAAUUGGUCAAACUACACAGACACAGUGGUGAAAUAAAGCACGACAGCGACUCUUCAACCUCAGGAGGCUGAAGAAAUUUGGCCUGUCCCCGAGGGCCCUCAUAGUGUUCUACAGGAGCACCAUCGAGAGCAUACUGUUGGGCUGCAUCACAGCUUGGUACGGCAACUCCACCGCCGCUGACCGCAUUGCGCUUCAGAGGGGGGUACCUGCUCCUCCUGUCCCCCUACUGCACCCCGAGACUCCCCCCUGCUGCUCUCCUUAUGGACCCCCCCAAGAGACAUUUACCCAGCCCCUGCCUCUGCCCCCAAUGGUCACGUAUAAUGUUAUUGUUGUAAAUAUAUAUUAUUAUUGUUAUUAUUAUUUUUUAUUGUUCAUUCACUUCCCUUUGACCUGCACUGUUGGAGAUUGACGCGUAAGAUGUUCACUGUACCCUGCAUUUACAUCUGCAACCCUGUGCAUUUGACUAAUAAACUCUCUAAAUCUCUACA